GUCUGUGGCCACACUACCCUGAUCAUGCUGACUCUUGUCUGAUCUCAGAAGCUAAGCAGGGUCAGGUCUGUUUAGUACUUCUAUGGGACAUAAUCCCUGAAAUUUCAUGUUUGAGGGC
Molecule: ribosomal RNA, 118 nt
Filed under: Cavia porcellus (domestic guinea pig)
Lineage: Eukaryota; Metazoa; Chordata; Mammalia; Rodentia; Caviidae
Source: RNAcentral